GACGAACGCUGGCGGCGUGCUUAACACAUGCAAGUCGAACGCUGAAGCUUGGUGCUUGCACUGGGUGGAUGAGUGGCGAACGGGUGAGUAUCACGUGAGUAACCUGCCCCUGACUUCGGGAUAAGCCUGGGAAACUGGGUCUAAUACCGGAUAUGACCAUCUUUCGCAUGUUGGGUGGUGGAAAGUUUUUCGGUUGGGGAUGGGCUCGCGGCCUAUCAGUUUGUUGGUGGGGUAAUGGCCUACCAAGACGACGACGGGUAGCCGGCCUGAGAGGGCGACCGGCCACACUGGGACUGAGACACGGCCCAGACUCCUACGGGAGGCAGCAGUGGGGAAUAUUGCACAAUGGGGGAAACCCUGAUGCAGCGACGCCGCGUGGGGGAUGACGGCCUUCGGGUUGUAAACCUCUUUCAGUAGGGAAGAAGCCUUUGGGUGACGGUACCUGCAGAAGAAGUACCGGCUAACUACGUGCCAGCAGCCGCGGUAAUACGUAGGGUACAAGCGUUGUCCGGAAUUAUUGGGCGUAAAGAGCUCGUAGGUGGUUUGUCGCGUCUGCUGUGGAAUCGUGCCGCUUAACGGUGCGCGUGCAGUGGGUACGGGCAGACUGGAGUGCAGUAGGGGAGUCUGGAAUUCCUGGUGUAGCGGUGAAAUGCGCAGAUAUCAGGAGGAACACCGGUGGCGAAGGCGGGACUCUGGGCUGUUACUGACGCUGAGGAGCGAAAGCAUGGGGAGCGAACAGG
Molecule: ribosomal RNA, 740 nt
Filed under: uncultured Brevibacterium sp.
Lineage: Bacteria; Bacillati; Actinomycetota; Actinomycetes; Micrococcales; Brevibacteriaceae
Description: bacterial SSU rRNA
Rfam family: Bacterial small subunit ribosomal RNA
Source: RNAcentral